CGGGUGCACUGAUCCGGCCGGGCCUUUCCCUCUGUGGAACCCCAUGGCCUUCACUGGCUGUGCGGGGGAAACAGGACUUUUACUGUGAAAAAAUUAGAGUGCUCCAGGCAGGCCUAUGCUCGAAUACAUUAGCAUGGAAUAAUAGAAUAGGACGCGUGGUUCUAUUUUGUUGGUUUCUAGGACCGCCGUAAUGAUUAAUAGGGACAGUCGGGGGCAUCAGUAUUCAAUUGUCAGAGGUGAAAUUCUUGGAUCUAUUGAAGACUAACUACUGCGAAAGCAUUUGCCAAGGAUGUUUUCAUUGAUAAGGAACGAAAGUUAGGGGAUCGAAGACGAUCAGAUACCGUCGUAGUCUUAACUAUAAACUAUGCCGACUAGGGAUCGGACGAUGUUAUUUCUUGACGCGUUCGGCACCUUUCGAGAAAUCAAAGUGCUUGGGCUCCAGGGGGAGUAUGGUCGCAAGGCUGAAACUUAAAGAAAUUGACGGAAGGGCACCACCAGGGGUGGAACCUGCGGCUUAAUUUGACUCAACACGGGGAAACUCACCAGGUCCAGACACAGUGAGGAUUGACAGAUUGAGAGCUCUUUCUUGAUUCUGUGGGUGGUGGUGCAUGGGCCGUUCUUAGUUGGUGGAGUGAUUUGUCUGCUUAAUUGCGAUAACGAACGAGACCUUAAACCUGCUAAAUAGCCCGUACUGCUCUGGCAGUUCGCCGGCUUCUUAGAGGGACUAUCGG
This 731-nucleotide ribosomal RNA is filed under the name uncultured eukaryote. RNAcentral describes it as "SSU rRNA". It matches the Rfam family "Eukaryotic small subunit ribosomal RNA", at positions 670 to 1426 of the family's 1831-position model. The record is from RNAcentral.